GAGUUUGAUCAUGGCUCAGGACGAACGCUGGCGGCGUGCCUAAUACAUGCAAGUAGAACGCUGAAGAGAGGAGCUUGCUCUUCUUGGAUGAGUUGCGAACGGGUGAGUAACGCGUAGGUAACCUGCCUUGUAGCGGGGGAUAACUAUUGGAAACGAUAGCUAAUACCGCAUAACAAUGGAUGACCCAUGUCAUUUAUUUGAAAGGGGCAAAUGCUCCACUACAAGAUGGACCUGCGUUGUAUUAGCUAGUAGGUGAGGUAACGGCUCACCUAGGCGACGAUACAUAGCCGACCUGAGAGGGUGAUCGGCCACACUGGGACUGAGACACGGCCCAGACUCCUACGGGAGGCAGCAGUAGGGAAUCUUCGGCAAUGGGGGCAACCCUGACCGAGCAACGCCGCGUGAGUGAAGAAGGUUUUCGGAUCGUAAAGCUCUGUUGUAAGUCAAGAACGAGUGUGAGAGUGGAAAGUUCACACUGUGACGGUAGCUUACCAGAAAGGGACGGCUAACUACGUGCCAGCAGCCGCGGUAAUACGUAGGUCCCGAGCGUUGUCCGGAUUUAUUGGGCGUAAAGCGAGCGCAGGCGGUUUGAUAAGUCUGAAGUUAAAGGCUGUGGCUCAACCAUAGUUCGCUUUGGAAACUGUCAAACUUGAGUGCAGAAGGGGAGAGUGGAAUUCCAUGUGUAGCGGUGAAAUGCGUAGAUAUAUGGAGGAACACCGGUGGCGAAAGCGGCUCUCUGGUCUGUAACUGACGCUGAGGCUCGAAAGCGUGGGGAGCGAACAGGAUUAGAUACCCUGGUAGUCCACGCCGUAAACGAUGAGUGCUAGGUGUUGGAUCCUUUCCGGGAUUCAGUGCCGCAGCUAACGCAUUAAGCACUCCGCCUGGGGAGUACGACCGCAAGGUUGAAACUCAAAGGAAUUGACGGGGGCCCGCACAAGCGGUGGAGCAUGUGGUUUAAUUCGAAGCAACGCGAAGAACCUUACCAGGUCUUGACAUCCCGAUGCUAUUUCUAGAGAUAGAAAGUUACUUCGGUACAUCGGUGACAGGUGGUGCAUGGUUGUCGUCAGCUCGUGUCGUGAGAUGUUGGGUUAAGUCCCGCAACGAGCGCAACCCCUAUUGUUAGUUGCCAUCAUUCAGUUGGGCACUCUAGCGAGACUGCCGGUAAUAAACCGGAGGAAGGUGGGGAUGACGUCAAAUCAUCAUGCCCCUUAUGACCUGGGCUACACACGUGCUACAAUGGUUGGUACAACGAGUUGCGAGUCGGUGACGGCAAGCUAAUCUCUUAAAGCCAAUCUCAGUUCGGAUUGUAGGCUGCAACUCGCCUACAUGAAGUCGGAAUCGCUAGUAAUCGCGGAUCAGCACGCCGCGGUGAAUACGUUCCCGGGCCCUUGUCCACACCGCCCGUCAA
Molecule: ribosomal RNA, 1408 nt
Filed under: uncultured bacterium
Lineage: Bacteria
Description: bacterial SSU rRNA
Rfam family: Bacterial small subunit ribosomal RNA
Source: RNAcentral